Molecule: ribosomal RNA, 497 nt
Filed under: uncultured bacterium
Lineage: Bacteria
Description: partial 16S ribosomal RNA
Rfam family: Bacterial small subunit ribosomal RNA
Source: RNAcentral
GAUGAACGCUGGCGGCGUGCCUAGUACAUGCAAGUCGAGCGAACAGACGAGGAGCUUGCUCCUCUGACGUUAGCGGCGGACGGGUGAGUAACACGUGGAUAACCUACCUAUAAGACUGGGAUAACUUCGGGAAACCGGGGCUAAUACCGGAUAAUAUAUUGAACCGCAUGGUUCAAUAGUGAAAGACGGUUUUGCUGUCACUUAUAGAUGGAUCCGCGCCGCAUUAGCUAGUUGGUAAGGUAACGGCUUACCAAGGCGACGAUGCGUAGCCGACCUGAGAGGGUGAUCGGCCACACUGGAACUGAGACACGGUCCAGACUCCUACGGGAGGCAGCAGUAGGGAAUCUUCCGCAAUGGGCGAAAGCCUGACGGAGCAACGCCGCGUGAGUGAUGAAGGUCUUCGGAUCGUAAAACUCUGUUAUUAGGGAAGAACAAAUGUGUAAGUAACUAUGCACGUCUUGACGGUACCUAAUCAGAAAGCCACGGCUAACUACGUG